RNAcentral lists this ribosomal RNA (21 nucleotides) under Colletotrichum magnum. RNAcentral describes it as "partial 18S ribosomal RNA". Lineage: Eukaryota; Fungi; Ascomycota; Sordariomycetes; Glomerellales; Glomerellaceae. RNAcentral also lists the same sequence under 3 other names. The record is from RNAcentral.
UGACCUGCGGAGGGAUCAUUA